AACCCGCCAUCGAAUGAGGCAAGACUACCCGCUGAACUUAAGCAUAUCACUAAGCGGAGGAGAAGAAACUAACCAGGAUGCCCCUAGUAAUGGCGAAUGAAGCGGGCUGAGCUCACGCUGCCAAUCUGGAGGCCUCGCGUAUGCAGCGCCCCCCGAAUUGUGGUCUAGAGAGGCGUUAUCGGCCGUGCCCGCCGCUCAAGUCCCUUGGAACAGGGUGUCGGAGAGGGUGAGAAUCCCGUACCGUGGCGGGUUGCGGCCUUACGAUGCGUUCUCGUCGAGUCGGGUUGCUUGGGAUUGCAGCUUGAAUUGGGUGGUAAAUUCCAUCUAAAGCUAAAUACUGGCGAGAGACCGAUAGCGAACAAGUACCGUGAGGGAAAGAUGCAAAGAACUUUGAAAAGAGAGUCAAAGAGUGCUUGAAAUCGGUAGGAGGAAACCCGGAUGGGCCCGGCUUCGGCGCGCCGACUCAGCCUGGGGUUCUCCCCAGGUGCACUUCUGCGCGCCGGGUCAGCCGCGCCUCGGCGCCGCGCCUCAACCCGGGAGCGGGGCUUUACGGCCAGCUCCCGUCCUGGCGCGGCCCGGGGCCCGGCUGACGGAACGGGCCCCUCCGACCCGUCUAGAAACACGGACCAAGGAGUCUGACACGUGUGCGAGUACCCGGGUGGCAAGCCCGCGUGCGGAAUGAAAGUGAAGGGCAUGCCCUGCCAACCGACCUUGACCUGCUGUGAGGGGUUUGAGUGGAGCACACCUGUCGGGACCCGAAAGAUGGUGAACUAUGCCUGGGUAGGGUGAAGCCAGAGGAAACUCUGGUGGAGGCUCGUAGCGAUACUGACGUGCAAAUCGUUCGUCGAAUCUGGGUAUAGGGGCGAAAGACUAAUCGAACCAUCUAGUAGCUGGUUCCCUCCGAAGUUUCCCUCAGGAUAGCUUGAACGCAACGGUUUUGUCAGGUAAAGCGAAUGAUUAGAGGCCUGUGGGCUGAAACAGCUUGCACCUAUUCUCAAACUUUAAAUGGGCAAGAGGCCCGGGAUGCUUGAGUGAUCCCGGGCGGCGAACGGCGCGUUCAAAGUGGGCCAUUUUUGGUAAGCAGAACUGGCGAUGCGGGAUGAACCGAACGCCGCGCUAAGGUACCCAAGUGUCCGCUCAUCAGAUACCACAAAAGGCGUUGGUACCUCCAGACAGCAGGACGGUGGCCAUGGAAGUCGGAACCCGCUAAGGAGUGUGUAACAACUCACCUGCCGAAGGUACUAGCCCUGAAAAUGGAUGGCGCUCAAGCGGACCACCGAUGCGCGGCCGCCGGCGCGAGCGCGAGGCGCCGGCGAGUAGGAGGGCGCGGGGCUCGCGGCGCAGCCUUGGGCGCGAGCCUGGGUGAAGCGGGCCCCGGUGCAGAUCUUGGUGGUAGUAGCAAAUAUUCAAAUGAGAACUUUGAAGACUGAAGUGGAGAAAGGUUCCGUGUGAACAGCAGUUGGACACGGGUGAGCCGACCCUAAGAGACAGGAAAACUCCGCCGAACGCGGCUGGUUCUGUCAGCCCGUCCGUCGAAAGGGAAUCGGGUUAAUAUUCCCGAGCCAGCGCGUGGAUGGUGGGCGGCGACGCGAACGAACCCGGAGACGCCGGCGGGAGCCCUGGGAAGAGUUCUCUUUUCUUCUUAACUGCCUCCUGCCCUGGAAUCGGUUUAGCCGGAGCGAGGGCUACACGGCAGGCAAAGCACCCUAAGUCUUGGGGUGUCCGGCGCGCUCCCGACGGCCCGUGAAAAUCCGGGGGAGCGGUUCGUUCUCACGCCUGGUCGUACUCAUAACCGCAUCAGGUCUCCAAGGUGAACAGCCUCUAGUCGAUAGAGCAAUGUAGGUAAGGGAAGUCGGCAAAAUGGUUCCGCAACCUCGGGAGAAGGAAUGGCUCUGAAGGCUGGGCGCAGGGGUCCUAGGCUCGAGGCCGGCUGGCUGCGCGGGGACUACGGCCUCACGGCUGCGGAUCCCGCGCGGCCGUCCGGCGGACGGCCUAGGAGCGCUCCGGCUCUCCCUGCGCGACGAACAGCCGCUUCAGAACUGGCGCGGACAAGGGGAAUCCGACUGUUUAAUUAAAACAAAGCAUUGCGAUGGCCCGCGAGGGUGCUGACGCAAUGUGAUUUCUGCCCAGUGCUCUGAAUGUCAAAGUGAAGAAAUUCAACCAAGCGCGGGUAAACGGCGGGAGUAACUAUGACUCUCUUAAGGUAGCCAAAUGCCUCGUCAUCCAAUUAGUGACGCGCAUGAAUGGAUUCGUGAGAUUCCCACUGUCCCUAUCUACUGUCUAGCGAAACCACAGCCAAGGGAACGGGCUUGGAAGAAUCAGCGGGGAAAGAAGACCCUGUUGAGCUUGACUCUAGUCUGUUACUGUGGAACGACUUGAUGGGUGUAGAAUAUGCGGGAGGGGCAACCCGACAGUGAAAUACCGCAACCGUCAACGUUGUUUUACUUACUCGGUGGCGCGGAGGGAGGCUCGCCUCACUUCUGGAUCCAAGCCGCUUCGUGCGCGCGAUCCGCGUCGGGGACACUAACAGGUGGGGAGUUUGGCUGGGGCGGCACGUCUGUUAAAAAAUAACGCAGGCGCCCGAUUUUGAGCUCAAUGAGAACAGAAAUCUCAUGUGGACCGAAAGGGGAAAAGCUCGGUUGAUUUUGAUUUUCAGUACGAAUACAAACCGCGAAAGCGUGGCCUAUCGAUCCUCUCGUCUUUGGGAAUUUCAAGCUAGAGGUGUCAGAAAAGUUACCACAGGGAUAACUGGCUUGUGGCUGCCAAGCGUUCAUAGCGACGUAGCUUUUUGAUCCUUCGAUGUCGGCUCUUCCUAUCACUGCCUCGCAGCGGGGGCCAAAUGCAGGAUUGUUCACCCACCAACAGGGAACGUGAGCUGGGUUUAGACCGUCGUGAGACAGGUUAGUUUUACCCUACUGCUGUCUGUUUUUCUACGGUAAUUUGGUUCAGUACGAGAGGAACCACCAAUUCGCAUCAUCGGUAUAGCCGCCGCCGGAAACGGCGAUGCGGCGAAGCUGCCAUGCGCCGGAUUAUAACUGAACGCCUCUAAGUUAGAAUCCAUGCCGGAAGGAAAGCCACCUACCGGCCCGGGGACGCCACGAGCAACGGUAGCACUGCCUGAGCCGCGAGCGACCACAAUUCACGGACCCGGGCCGACGAAUCCCUUGCAGACGACUUG
This 3178-nucleotide ribosomal RNA is filed under the name Emiliania huxleyi CCMP1516. RNAcentral's name for it is "eukaryotic LSU rRNA". It matches the Rfam family "Eukaryotic large subunit ribosomal RNA". The record is from RNAcentral. Lineage: Eukaryota; Haptophyta; Isochrysidales; Noelaerhabdaceae.